CUCUAGUAUUUAAAUGAAGAUACAUGUAAAAAUUCCAUGGAUGGAGAAGGAGCCUGGUGGGCUGCAGUCCAUGGGGUUGCAAAGAGUCGGAUAGGAUUGAGCAACUAAACAACAACAACGUUUGGUGCUAACUUGCUCUUGCUAUUAAGAAUCUUAAUGAGGAAAGAGGGGUAAAUUAGGAGUUUGGGAAUUUAUAUCUAGUUUAUAUACACUAUUGUAUAUAAAUAGAUAAACAACAAGGUAAUCAUAUCGUGUAAUAAUCUAUAAUGAAAAGUAAUCUGAAAAAGGAUAUAUGUAUAUGUAAUAGCCACUGUAUAUGUAUAUGUAACUAGCCACUCCAGGUGAAAAACAAUUUAUCAAAUCCCUUAUAUGUGAGAGUGAAUUUAUUGGGUACAGGGUGAAAAGAUUUUAUUUUGGAAAGGAGGGAUAAUUUUAGACCGUGAAGCAAGAGAAGAAGCUCUGUUACAUGACACAAUGGCACUGGAACGGACCUUACUUGAGAGGAUAUUAAGGAUGGCAGGGUUGUUUGUCAAAGAAAAAUAAGAAGGAAACAUAAAUUUGCUUUAACUUACAUUGUUGAUUCUAGCCUACCAUGCAAUUAAAAUAGCUCUUACAUUUUAAAGUUACUCAAAAGAUUUCUUUUAAGUUGGUGUAAUUAUUUUAUAUGUAUCAUAAAUAGCAUGUGCUUUAUGAAUCUCAUCCCUUGUGU
Molecule: long non-coding RNA, 709 nt
Filed under: Capra hircus (goat)
Lineage: Eukaryota; Metazoa; Chordata; Mammalia; Artiodactyla; Bovidae
Description: lncRNA (ENSCHIG00010014245.1)
Source: RNAcentral